Molecule: ribosomal RNA, 440 nt
Filed under: uncultured bacterium
Lineage: Bacteria
Description: partial 16S ribosomal RNA
Rfam family: Bacterial small subunit ribosomal RNA
Source: RNAcentral
CCUACGGGUGGCAGCAGUGGGGGAUAUUGCACAAUGGGGGAAAGCCUGAUCCAGCGACGUCGCGUGAGUGAAGAAGUCUUUCGGUAUGUAAAGCUUUUUUAGUAUGGAAGUAAAUCACAGUACCUGACCACGAAGCUCCGGCUAACUACGUGCCAGCAGCCGCGGUAAUACGUAGGCGGCCAGCGUUAUCCGGAUUUACUGGGUGUAAAGGGAGCGUAGGCGGUUUUUUAAGUCUGGAGUGAAAGCCCGGGGCCCAACCCCGGGACUGCUUUGGAAACUGUGUAACUGGAGUACAGGAGAGGCAGGCGGAAUUCCUGGUGUAGCGGUGAAAUGCGUAGAUAUCAGGAGGAACACCGGCGGCGAAGGCGGCCUGCUGGACUGAAACUGACGUUGAGGCUCGAAAGCGUGGGGAGCAAACAGGAUUAGAUACCCGGGUAGUC